GGAGAUUUAGCUCAGCGGUAGAGCACUUGCCUAGCAAGCGCAAGGCCCUGGGUUCGGUCCCCAGCUCCA
RNAcentral lists this transfer RNA (69 nucleotides) under Rattus norvegicus (Norway rat). It matches the Rfam family "tRNA". From Rfam's summary of the family: Transfer RNA (tRNA) molecules are approximately 80 nucleotides in length. Their secondary structure includes four short double-helical elements and three loops (D, anti-codon, and T loops). Further hydrogen bonds mediate the characteristic L-shaped molecular structure. tRNAs have two regions of fundamental functional importance: the anti-codon, which is responsible for specific mRNA codon recognition, and the 3' end, to which the tRNAs corresponding amino acid is attached (by aminoacyl-tRNA synthetases). tRNAs cope with the degeneracy of the genetic code in two manners: having more than one tRNA (with a specific anti-codon) for a particular amino acid; and 'wobble' base-pairing, i.e. permitting non-standard base-pairing at the 3rd anti-codon position. The record is from Rfam by way of RNAcentral. Lineage: Eukaryota; Metazoa; Chordata; Mammalia; Rodentia; Muridae.